Molecule: small nucleolar RNA, 127 nt
Organism: Mastomys coucha (southern multimammate mouse)
Lineage: Eukaryota; Metazoa; Chordata; Mammalia; Rodentia; Muridae
Product: small nucleolar RNA SNORA17
Exons: 1
Source: RefSeq, a predicted model, not a curated record
CCUCCCCCUAGAGGCUUUACAGGUGUGGCUGCUGUGUCACAUGUGCGUCAGUAGGUGGCAGAGAGGAGAGAAAUGAUGUCUCUGCUCAGUGUUCUGACCUGAGAACAUAUGAAUGAUUAGUAACAAU